AUAAAAGCUGAGAAAGACAUUAGUAGAUUAAUUAACUGAAAUUAGAGAGCUGAUGGCUGCUGCAAAUCAGUCAGUUAAUUUUUCGAAUCCAGUCUGGAGCUGUGAAGCUGAAAAUAUAAUGAUUAAGCUGAACCGGUUGGGCCCGUUAAAACUAUUUAAGCGGCAGUUUUUCUGUCAUUAGGGUGGCACCACGAGCAAUCUCGUCCCUUUU
Molecule: non-coding RNA, 211 nt
Filed under: Halanaerobium kushneri
Lineage: Bacteria; Bacillati; Bacillota; Clostridia; Halanaerobiales; Halanaerobiaceae
Description: T-box sequence
Rfam family: T-box leader
About the family: Uncharged tRNA acts as the effector for transcription antitermination of genes in the T-box leader family. T-boxes are found upstream of many aminoacyl-tRNA synthetase genes and some amino acid biosynthetic genes usually in Gram-positive bacteria. The anticodon of a specific tRNA base pairs to a specifier sequence within the T-box motif, and the NCCA acceptor tail of the tRNA base pairs to a conserved bulge in the T-box antiterminator hairpin.
Source: RNAcentral